RNAcentral lists this ribosomal RNA (459 nucleotides) under uncultured bacterium. Its description in RNAcentral is "partial 16S ribosomal RNA". It matches the Rfam family "Bacterial small subunit ribosomal RNA", at positions 338 to 795 of the family's 1533-position model. The record is from RNAcentral.
CCUACGGGGGGCAGCAGUGAGGAAUAUUGGUCAAUGGCCGGAAGGCUGAACCAGCCAAGCCGCGUGAAGGACGAAGGUGCCAAGCAUUGUAAACUUCUUUUGUCAAGGGACAAAAUCAGGCUCGAGAGCCUGACCGAGGGUACUUGAAGAAAAAGCAUCGGCUAACUCCGUGCCAGCAGCCGCGGUAAUACGGAGGAUGCGAGCGUUAUCCGGAUUUAUUGGGUUUAAAGGGUGCGUAGGCGGACUGUUAAGUCAGCGGUAAAAGCCCGGGGCGCAACCCCGGCGAGCCGUUGAAACUGGCUGGCUUGAGAGGGCGAGAGGUAUGCGGAAUGCGCGGUGUAGCGGGGAAAUGCAUAGAUAUUGCGCAGAACUCCGAUUGCGAAGGCAGCAUACCGGCGGCGAUCUGACGCUGAGGCACGAAAGCGUGGGUAUCGAACAGGAUUAGAUACCCCAGUAGUC